CUCCUCCGGUGAAAUCCCCACCACCACCAUAUUAUUACCACUCACCACCCCCACCCGUCAAAUCUCCUCCACCUCCAUAUUAUUACCACUCACCACCUCCUCCGGUGAAAUCUCCACCACCACCAUAUUAUUACCACUCACCUCCUCCUCCGGUGAAAUCUCCACCACCACCAUAUUACUACCAUUCACCUCCCCCUCCAGUCAAAUCUCCACCACCACCAUAUUACUACCAUUCACCUCCCCCUCCAGUGAAAUCCCCACCACCACCAUAUUACUACCAUUCACCACCUCCUCCAGUGAAAUCUCCACCACCACCAUACUACUACAACUCUCCACCACCACCAGUAAAAUCUCCCCCACCUCCCGUCUACAUCUACGCUUCUCCCCCACCUCCUACCCAUUACUAGGCUCGUCAAAUUCAACCAAGUUUCCCCAUUAUUCAAGUAAGUCCCAAGGCUCCAAUAUUCUAAGUAUGCUCCAUAUC
Molecule: long non-coding RNA, 484 nt
Filed under: Brassica rapa (field mustard)
Lineage: Eukaryota; Viridiplantae; Streptophyta; Magnoliopsida; Brassicales; Brassicaceae
Description: long non-coding RNA (BRAP_LNC003223)
Source: RNAcentral